Long non-coding RNA from Leptonychotes weddellii (Weddell seal), 1461 nucleotides. RefSeq lists it as uncharacterized. NCBI's taxonomy places the organism in Eukaryota, Metazoa, Chordata, Mammalia, Carnivora, Phocidae. The record is from RefSeq and is a predicted model, not a curated record.
CACCUUCAUUCUGCCGCUCAGUCCUGCAGAAUUUUAAACCCGGAAUCAAGGCACUGUGAGAGUUGUAACAUUUCUUAUAAACAACAGCCAGGACUAUUAACUGGAAGAGAGUGGUAUAUGCUUUUUCAUGCCACAUUUUCCAUCUCGUUUGAAUUAAAUUUUUGAUUAAGAGAUCCAAGAUGGUGAUUAACUUCAGACGAACAGAACGUCAACUCAGCUCCAGAAGAGAGAGGUUUCUUUCUGAGCUGUGAGACAUGCAGAUAAAUUUCAGGCACAUGAACCAGGAUAUUUUCACAGGAGUAUCUACUUGGGGCUUCAACAGAAGUGUUUCAUCAAUAUUACAACUUAGCCUAUACAAGACUGUCUCUAGUGUGGGCUUCCAGGAUUCAGUCUGUCGCCGGUGAAGAAUGGCACACAAAUCUGUCAUGCUGAUGAUGAUUCACGGGGUAGCAGUCAUGUCAUCCAAGUUUCUCAAAGUGCCAGGAAAGAGUGAUUUGUAAAAAUUACUAGUCUUUUUUUUUUUCUUCUUAAAAUAAGCAUGUCAAUUCACUGCUUAGCGGGAUUUCUCUUGGGUUAAUGCCAUUAGGCUAUACUAAUAGAUGAAAUAAUUUGCAUUUCAUAAAUUUCACAAUUGGAGGAACUGUAACCAAGCAGUACUUUCAUGUGGAAGUACUCCUCUGAAUCAAUGGAGACAAACUGUAAAGGCUAAAAUCGCCUUUAGGAUUCUACCACCGUAACUAUGACUACCAUCACCGUCACUAUUAAUGGAUAAUACUUAUCAAGUACUUGCCACGUAUAAGGCACUAUUCUAAGUGCUUUUCACAUAUUAACUCAUUUCCACCCUUAUGACGAUUGUAUAAGGUAGUACUAUUGUCGUCCCCAUGUUACAGGGAAAGAAACUGAGGCACAGAGAAGCAUUUUAAAUAGCUGAUCGAAUGCCAUAGACCUAGGCCAACCCAAGACCUGAACCCAGGCUCCAGAUUUCCUGCUCUUAACCACUCAGUUGCAAACAGGGCUUCAGGGAAGAAGGCAAUCCGUGCGCGGACGGGAUGAAGGAUAGACAGCCCCCUUCCCUGAAGCCAAGGCUUACGCAGAAUGUUUUUAUUUACUCAACAGUGUUAACAAGACCUGUCCUUUUGCAUUCUCCUUUCCUCCCCUCCCCUCCUCUCCCUCUUCUGUUUCUCCUCCUCCUCCACUUUCCCAUACAGAAGGCAUCCUCUCCUCCGUGUCUCACCAUCACCUACCCUGCAUCCUGCGUCGCCGCUCACCCCUUCCCAGCUUCCCUGCCUUCUCCAGAGCCAUGACCACUGCCCCAUCCCACCCUGGUUGCAGACAUUCAGCUCUUCGCACCAACUCCUGUGCUGUCUCUUCAGCAAGCUCUGUCUAGUCCUCCUUUAAAAUGGCCCUCGGAUUUACCCUUUUCAUAUCUACAAACUCCAGAGGAAUUCACGCUCUCAGCAC